RNAcentral lists this ribosomal RNA (377 nucleotides) under uncultured delta proteobacterium. RNAcentral's name for it is "bacterial SSU rRNA". It matches the Rfam family "Bacterial small subunit ribosomal RNA", at positions 521 to 896 of the family's 1533-position model. Lineage: Bacteria; Deltaproteobacteria. The record is from RNAcentral.
UAAUACAGAGGGUGCAAGCGUUGUUCGGAAUUAUUGGGCGUAAAGCGCGCGUAGGCGGUUACAUAAGUCUGACGUGAAAGCCCGGGGCUCAACCCCGGAAGUGCAUCGGAAACUGUGUAACUAGAGUCCCGGAGAGGAUGGUGGAAUUCCAGGUGUAGAGGUGAAAUUCGUAGAUAUCUGGAGGAACAUCAGCGGCGAAGGCGGCCAUCUGGACGGUGACUGACGCUGAGGUGCGAAAGCGUGGGGAGCGAACAGGAUUAGAUACCCUGGUAGUCCACGCCGUAAACGAUGGAUACUAGGUGCAGCGGGUAUUGACCCCUGCUGUGCCAAAGCUGACGCAUUAAGUAUCCCGCCUGGGAAGUACGGCCGCAAGGCUA